AUGAAUGGCCGAGUGGUCGAAGGCGACGGUCUUGAAAACCGUUGUAGGUUUCACCUACCGGGGGUUCGAGUCCCUCUUCAUC
This 82-nucleotide transfer RNA is filed under the name bovine gut metagenome. It matches the Rfam family "tRNA". From Rfam's summary of the family: Transfer RNA (tRNA) molecules are approximately 80 nucleotides in length. Their secondary structure includes four short double-helical elements and three loops (D, anti-codon, and T loops). The record is from RNAcentral.